This 390-nucleotide ribosomal RNA is filed under the name uncultured bacterium. RNAcentral describes it as "bacterial SSU rRNA". It matches the Rfam family "Bacterial small subunit ribosomal RNA", at positions 28 to 420 of the family's 1533-position model. The record is from RNAcentral.
GACGAACGCUGGCGGCGUGCUUAACACAUGCAAGUCGAGCGGUAAGGCCCUUUCAGGGGUACACGAGCGGCGAACGGGUGAGUAACACGUGGGUGACCUGCCCUUAGCUCUGGGAUAAGCCUGGGAAACUGGGUCUAAUACCGGAUAUGACUCCAUGACGCAUGUUGUGGGGUGGAAAGCCUUGUGCGGCUAGGGAUGGGCCUGCGGCCUAUCAGCUUGUUGGUGGGGUGANGGCCUACCAAGGCGACGACGGGUAGCCGGCCUGAGAGGGCGACCGGCCACACUGGGACUGAGACACGGCCCAGACUCCUACGGGAGGCAGCAGUGGGGAAUCUUGCGCAAUGGGCGAAAGCCUGACGCAGCGACGCCGCGUGGGGAUGACGGCCUCGG